ACUCCGGACGUGCUUUGGAUACUGCCAAACUUGAGUACGUGAGAGGAGAGCGGAAUUCCAGGUGUAGCGGUGAAAUGCGUAGAUAUCUGGAGGAACACCGGUGGCGAAGGCGGCUCUCUGGCGCGAAACUGACGCUGAGGCUCGAAAGCGUGGGGAGCGAACGGGAUUAGAUACCCCGCGUAGUCCACGCCGUACACGUUGUGCACUAGGUGUAGGAGGUAUCGACCCCUUCUGUGCCGCGGCUAACGCAAUAAGUGCACCGCCUGGGGAGUACGGUCGCAAGACUGACACUCAAAGGAAUUGACGGGGGCCCGCACAAGCGGUGGAGCAUGUGGUUUACUUCGAGGCCAAGCGAAGAACCUUACGUGGUUUGACAUGCAGGAUGCCAUCCUGGAAACAGGAUUGGUUUACCCGCAAGGGUUGAAACCUGCACAGUGGCUGCAUGGCUGUCGUCAGCUCGUGUCGUGAGAUGUCGGCUUAAGUCUUAUUAACGAGCGGAAACCCUUGCCCGUUAGUUACCAGC
This 523-nucleotide ribosomal RNA is filed under the name uncultured Hydrogenedentota bacterium. Its description in RNAcentral is "bacterial SSU rRNA". It matches the Rfam family "Bacterial small subunit ribosomal RNA", at positions 612 to 1122 of the family's 1533-position model. The record is from RNAcentral. Lineage: Bacteria; Pseudomonadati; Candidatus Hydrogenedentota.